CCCUACGGCCAUGCAACCCUGAACAAGCCCAAUCCCGUCUGAUCUCGGAAGUUAAGCAGGGUCAGGCGUGGUUCGUACUGGGAUGGGAGACCACCUAGGAAGACCAGCUGCUGUAGAUG
This 119-nucleotide ribosomal RNA is filed under the name Pteropus alecto (black flying fox). The record is from RNAcentral. Lineage: Eukaryota; Metazoa; Chordata; Mammalia; Chiroptera; Pteropodidae.